Molecule: RNase P RNA, 459 nt
Filed under: Clostridia bacterium
Lineage: Bacteria; Bacillati; Bacillota; Clostridia
Description: RNase P RNA component class A
Rfam family: Bacterial RNase P class A
About the family: Ribonuclease P (RNase P) is a ubiquitous endoribonuclease, found in archaea, bacteria and eukarya as well as chloroplasts and mitochondria. Its best characterised activity is the generation of mature 5'-ends of tRNAs by cleaving the 5'-leader elements of precursor-tRNAs.
Source: RNAcentral
AGAGUAAAUUAAAUGGUCGCGUAUAGCAAGGUCGUAAGGCAGCGUACGAGGAAAGUCCGGGCUCCAUAAGAGCAAUGAUGCUGGAUAACGUCCAGUGGAGGAAACUCUAAGGAAAGUGCAACAGAAAAUAACCGCCAUGUCCUAGGGCUCCCACAAAACAUAGUUUUGUGGGAAAAAGGAAGAGCAAUGAAGAAAUAUAAUGAAUCGAAAUUUUUCGAUUCAUUGAUUUCGCAAUUUGCUCUGACGUGGUAAGGAUGAAAAGGUAAGGUAAGAGCUUACCGCAGGUAUGGUGACAUACUUGGUCAGUGUAAACCCCAUCUGGAGCAACACCCUGUAAUUCCAAGAAGGUUAAGAUGCUCUUUCGUCUUCUUGGGUUAGGUGGCUUGAGACGCAUAGUAAUAUGCGUAAUAGAUAAAUGACCAUUCACGACAGAACCCGGCUUACAGAUUUACUUUUUAU